Molecule: ribosomal RNA, 699 nt
Filed under: Escherichia coli
Lineage: Bacteria; Pseudomonadati; Pseudomonadota; Gammaproteobacteria; Enterobacterales; Enterobacteriaceae
Description: partial 23S ribosomal RNA
Rfam family: Bacterial large subunit ribosomal RNA
Source: RNAcentral
GGGUUGUGAGGUUAAGCGACUAAGCGUACACGGUGGAUGCCCUGGCAGUCAGAGGCGAUGAAGGACGUGCUAAUCUGCGAUAAGCGUCGGUGAGGUGAUAUGAACCGUUAUAACCGGCGAUUUCCGAAUGGGGAAACCCAGUGUGUUUCGACACACUAUCAUUAACUGAAUCCAUAGGUUAAUGAGGCGAACCGGGGGAACUGAAACAUCUAAGUACCCCGAGGAAAAGAAAUCAACCGAGAUUCCCCCAGUAGCGGCGAGCGAACGGGGAGGAGCCCAGAGCCUGAAUCAGUGUGUGUGUUAGUGGAAGCGUCUGGAAAGGCGCGCGAUACAGGGUGACAGCCCCGUACACAAAAAUGCACAUACUGUGAGCUCGAUGAGUAGGGCGGGACACGUGGUAUCCUGUCUGAAUAUGGGGGGACCAUCCUCCAAGGCUAAAUACUCCUGACUGACCGAUAGUGAACCAGUACCGUGAGGGAAAGGCGAAAAGAACCCCGGCGAGGGGAGUGAAAAAGAACCUGAAACCGUGUACGUACAAGCAGUGGGAGCCUCUUAAUGGGGUGACUGCGUACCUUUUGUAUAAUGGGUCAGCGACUUAUAUUCUGUAGCAAGGUUAACCGAAUAGGGGAGCCGAAGGGAAACCGAGUCUUAACUGGGCGUUAAGUUGCAGGGUAUAGACCCGAAACCCGGUGAUCUAGC